Molecule: long non-coding RNA, 632 nt
Filed under: Medicago truncatula (barrel medic)
Lineage: Eukaryota; Viridiplantae; Streptophyta; Magnoliopsida; Fabales; Fabaceae
Description: long non-coding RNA (MTRU_LNC004879)
Source: RNAcentral
UGAAGAGAGAAAUAGAUAAGAGAGUUUGAGAAGAGAGAAAAAGGUAAGAAAUAGAGUAGAUUUGAUGGAUUGUUUGGUAGAAGAGAAAGAGAUAAGAAAUAGAGAAGAGAGAAAUGUUAAUUAUAUUGAAAAGUACAAAAAUACCCUUGAAUUAAAAAUUUCACAUAAAAAUGAUUUAAGUAAUUCAAAUAGUACUUUAUAUAAUUUUGAGUAUUUUAAAUAAUUAUAUUACUUUAUUGUUAAAAAACAAUUAUAUUACUUUAACUCAUUAUUAGAUUAAUUAAUUAUUAAAUGAAGUAAUUCAAUUAUUAAUUAAUUGGACUAAUUUAAUAGUUUAAUUUUUUAAAGAUCAACUAAAAUAUACAAGUAAAAAAAAAAAAGAAGUGGAAACCGACCAUUUAUCUCGUCGGUGCAUCUUGACAUUUCCUUCAUUUAUCUACCAAGAGACAGUUGUUUUUAAAUUAUAAAUUUCAUUCAAAAUAUAGCAUAACAAUUGUUGAAGAUCUUUUUCUUUUCCUCAAAAAAUGAGCAUCAUUGAAUAUUUCUUCUCCAUCUCAGAUCUACUGUGUUGUUUUGGUAGAGCAAAGUUUUGGAAUAGAGCACUACAAUGGUUGAUGGCAAGGGCAAAUUUG